UAACACGUGAGCAACUACCUUAGAGAGAGGGAUAGCUUCUGGAAACGGAUGGUAAUACCUCAUAAUGUAACUGUACCGCAUGAUACAGUUACCAAAGAUUUAUCACUCUGAGAUGGGCUCGCGUCUGAUUAGAUAGUUGGUGAGGUAACGGCUCGACCAAGUCGACGAUCAGUAGCCGGACUGAGAGGUUGAACGGCCACAUUGGGACUGAGACACGGCCCAGACUCCUACGGGAGGCAGCAGUGGGGAAUAUUGCACAAUGGGGGAAACCCUGAAUGCAGCGAUGCCGCGUUGGAGGAAGAAGGUUUUCGGAUUGUAAACUCCUGUCUUAAAGGUACGAUAAUGACGGUACUUUAGGAGGAAGCUCCGGCUAACUACGUGCCAGCAGCAGC
RNAcentral lists this ribosomal RNA (392 nucleotides) under uncultured bacterium. RNAcentral's name for it is "bacterial SSU rRNA". It matches the Rfam family "Bacterial small subunit ribosomal RNA", at positions 111 to 518 of the family's 1533-position model. The record is from RNAcentral.